RNAcentral lists this ribosomal RNA (570 nucleotides) under uncultured Alphaproteobacteria bacterium. RNAcentral describes it as "bacterial SSU rRNA". It matches the Rfam family "Bacterial small subunit ribosomal RNA", at positions 46 to 670 of the family's 1533-position model. The record is from RNAcentral. Lineage: Bacteria; Pseudomonadati; Pseudomonadota; Alphaproteobacteria.
GUCUAACACAUGCAAUGUCGCGCCCCGAGGGGAGCGGCAGACGGGUGAGUNAACGCGUGGGAAUCUACCCAUCCUACGGAACAACUCCGGGAAACUGGAGCUAAUACCGUAUACGCCCUUUGGGGGAAAGAUUUAUCGGGGAUGGAUGAGCCCGCGUUGGAUUAGCUAGUUGGUGGGGUAAAGGCCUACCAAGGCGACGAUCCAUAGCUGGUCUGAGAGGAUGAUCAGCCACAUUGGGACUGAGACACGGCCCAAACUCCUACGGGAGGCAGCAGUGGGGAAUAUUGGACAAUGGGCGCAAGCCUGAUCCAGCCAUGCCGCGUGAGUGAUGAAGGCCUUAGGGUUGUAAAGCUCUUUCACCGGAGAAGAUAAUGACGGUAUCCGGAGAAGAAGCCCCGGCUAACUUCUGCCAGCAGCCGCGGUAAUACGAAGGGGGCUAGCGUUGUUCGGAAUUACUGGGCGUAAAGCGCACGUAGGCGGACAUUUAAGUCAGGGGUGAAAUCCCGGGGCUCAACCUCGGAACUGCCUUUGUACUGGGUGUCUUGAGUGUGGAAGAGGAAGUGGAAUUGC